UGCCUCUCUUUUCUUUUGAUCUCUUCUAUUUUGAUCAAAAUCUUCUAAAAUAAAGUACAACUUUGCACUUCUCUUCUUCUCCUAUUUGAAAUCAAGUACUAACCCUCUUGGCUUUGCAUUCAUUCCCUUUUCAAGCGGCAUUGCCAGUGAAAUACACGGUAAGUUUUCUCUGUUCCAUCCCUCACUAUGCCUUUUUUGCUGCCAAUCUUCUCUA
This 214-nucleotide long non-coding RNA is filed under the name Elaeis guineensis (African oil palm). RNAcentral's name for it is "long non-coding RNA (EGUI_LNC072268)". The record is from RNAcentral. Lineage: Eukaryota; Viridiplantae; Streptophyta; Magnoliopsida; Arecales; Arecaceae.